AGCAGCCGCGGUAAUUCCAGCUCCAAUAGCGUAUAUUAAAGUUGUUGCAGUUAAAAAGCUCGUAGUUGAAUUUCGGGGUCAGCAAGUUGGUCGUGCCACCGGUAUGCACUGGCUUUGCUGAUUCCUCCCUCUUGUAGAACCGUAAUGCCAUUAAUUUGGUGUUGCGGGGAAACAGGACUGUUACUUUGAAAAAAUUAGAGUGUUUAAAGCAGGCUAACGCCUGAAUACAUUAGCAUGGAAUAAUGAAAUAGGACGUUCGAUCUUAUUUUGUUGGUUUCUAGGGUUGACGUAAUGAUUAAUAGGGACAGUUGGGGGCAUUAGUAUUCAAUUGUCAGAGGUGAAAUUCUUGGAUUUAUUGAAGACUAACUACUGCGAAAGCAUUUGCCAAGGAUGUUUUCAUUAAUCAAGAACGAAAGUUAGGGGGUCGAAGACGAUCAGAUACCGUCGUAGUCUUAACCAUAAACUAUGCCGACUAGGGAUCGGAUGAUGUUAAUUUUUUAAUGACUCA
This 508-nucleotide ribosomal RNA is filed under the name uncultured Rhizophagus. RNAcentral describes it as "SSU rRNA". It matches the Rfam family "Eukaryotic small subunit ribosomal RNA", at positions 569 to 1078 of the family's 1831-position model. Lineage: Eukaryota; Fungi; Glomeromycota; Glomeromycetes; Glomerales; Glomeraceae. The record is from RNAcentral.